UGGGGAAUAUUGGACAAUGGGCGCAAGCCUGAUCCAGCCAUGCCGCGUGAGUGAUGAAGGCCCUAGGGUUGUAAAGCUCUUUCACCGGUGAAGAUAAUGACGGUAACCGGAGAAGAAGCCCCGGCUAACUUCGUGCCAGCAGCCGCGGUAAUACGAAGGGGGCUAGCGUUGUUCGGAUUUACUGGGCGUAAAGCGCACGUAGGCGGACUUUUAAGUCAGGGGUGAAAUCCCGGGGCUCAACCCCGGAACUGCCUUUGAUACUGGAAGUCUUGAGUAUGGUAGAGGUGAGUGGAAUUCCGAGUGUAGAGGUGAAAUUCGUAGAUAUUCGGAGGAACACCAGUGGCGAAGGCGGCUCACUGGACCAUACUGACGCUGAGGUGCGAAAGCGUGGGGAGCAAACAGG
RNAcentral lists this ribosomal RNA (403 nucleotides) under Actinomycetes bacterium. RNAcentral describes it as "Actinobacteria bacterium partial 16S ribosomal RNA". It matches the Rfam family "Bacterial small subunit ribosomal RNA", at positions 355 to 776 of the family's 1533-position model. The record is from RNAcentral. Lineage: Bacteria; Bacillati; Actinomycetota; Actinomycetes.